RNAcentral lists this long non-coding RNA (335 nucleotides) under Mytilus galloprovincialis (Mediterranean mussel). Lineage: Eukaryota; Metazoa; Mollusca; Bivalvia; Mytilida; Mytilidae. The record is from RNAcentral.
UGUCUUUUAUAAAUGGUAUAGAAAUGACAGUAUAUUCAACUUGUAUGUUGUUGGUUAAAUUUUAUCAGAGAAAAAUAUUGUUAUAAGUUAUCAUAUAUUAUCUUACAGUGGCUAGCUAGCUAUUUAAAUUAGUAUAAAGCUAGUACAAUGUAUAAAGUUGAUGAGUAUUGUUAAUUUCAGUAUAGUCGUCCAUUAACCAUUAAGGAGGCUCGAGGUUACAAAACAUUCAGCAGAAAUUGAAACUUUUUUUUCCAUUACAAAUUUUAUUUAUUACACUUAGUUGUUACUUUAUGAUACUGUACAAAAAUCAACCAAAAAAAUCAAUUCGUUUUGGC